UCGAACGAGAAAGUGGAGCAAUCCAUGAGUUACAGUGGCGUACGGGUGAGUAACACGUGGGUAAUCUACCCUUUAGUGUGGAAUAACCCUGGGAAACCGGGGCUAAUACCGCAUAAGCUCGAGAGAGGAAAGCAGCAAUGCGCUGAAGGAGGAGCCCGCGGCCGAUUAGCUAGUUGGCAGGGUAAAAGCCUACCAAGGCAAAGAUCGGUAGCCGGCCUGAGAGGGCACACGGCCACACUGGCACUGAAAUACGGGCCAGACUCCUACGGGAGGCAGCAGUGGGGAAUCUUGCACAAUGGGGGAAACCCUGAUGCAGCGACGCCGCGUGAGCGAUGAAGCCCUUCGGGGUGUAAAGCUCUUUCGGCAGGGACGAUAAUGACGGUACCUGCAGAAGCAGCUGCGGCUAACUACGUGCCAGCAGCCGCGGUAAUACGUAGGCAGCGAGCGUUGUUCGGAGUUACUGGGCGUAAAGGGUGUGUAGGCGGUUGCUUAAGUUUGGUGUGAAAUCUCCCGGCUCAACCGGGAGGGUGCGCCGAAUACUGAGUGACUAGAGUGCGGGAGAGGAAAGUGGAAUUCCUGGUGUAGCGGUGAAAUGCGUAGAUAUCAGGAGGAACACCGGUGGUGUAGACGGCUUUCUGGACCGUAACUGACGCUGAAACACGAAAGCGUGGGUAGCAAACAGGAUUAGAUACCCUGGUAGUCCACGCCCUAAACGAUGCAUAUUUGGUGUGGGUCAUUCAGUUGAUCCGUGCCGGAGCUAACGCGU
RNAcentral lists this ribosomal RNA (766 nucleotides) under uncultured bacterium. Its description in RNAcentral is "bacterial SSU rRNA". It matches the Rfam family "Bacterial small subunit ribosomal RNA", at positions 62 to 860 of the family's 1533-position model. The record is from RNAcentral.